GACAGGGGUCUCGAGCGUUAAUCGGAAUCACUGGGCUUAAAGGGUGCGUAGGCGGACCCGAACGCGUCCCGUGAAAUCCCCGGCUCAACCGGGGAACUGCGGGGCGAACGGUGGGUCUCGAGGCAGGUAGGGGUCGCCGGAACCGUAGGUGGAGCGGUGAAAUGCGUAGAUAUCUACGGGAACGCCGAUGGUGAAGACGGGCGACUGGGCCUGUCCUGACGCUGAGGCGCGAAAGCGUGGGGAGCGAACGGG
This 252-nucleotide ribosomal RNA is filed under the name uncultured bacterium. Its description in RNAcentral is "partial 16S ribosomal RNA". It matches the Rfam family "Bacterial small subunit ribosomal RNA", at positions 524 to 776 of the family's 1533-position model. The record is from RNAcentral.